AAGCGCUUACAGCCAGACUCGCCCGGGGGUGAUCAGCCGUCCUUUUGGGCGGUGCACUUUCCCCCGGUCGGGCCAGCAUCGGUUUGGGCGGCUGGAUAAAAGCUUCGGGAACGUGACUCCCCUCGGGGAGUGUUAUAGCCCGGAGUGUAAUGCAGCCAGCCUGGACCGAGGACCGCGCUUUUGCUAGGAUGCUGGCGUAAUGGCUGUCAGCGA
This 213-nucleotide ribosomal RNA is filed under the name Carestiella sp. RNAcentral's name for it is "partial large subunit ribosomal RNA". Lineage: Eukaryota; Fungi; Ascomycota; Lecanoromycetes; Ostropales; Stictidaceae. The record is from RNAcentral.